RNAcentral lists this transfer RNA (75 nucleotides) under Brucella intermedia 229E. RNAcentral describes it as "Ochrobactrum intermedium 229E tRNA". It matches the Rfam family "tRNA". Rfam says of the family: Transfer RNA (tRNA) molecules are approximately 80 nucleotides in length. Lineage: Bacteria; Pseudomonadati; Pseudomonadota; Alphaproteobacteria; Hyphomicrobiales; Brucellaceae. The record is from Rfam by way of RNAcentral.
GGGCGUGUAGCUCAGCGGGAGAGCACUCCCUUCACACGGGAGGGGGGGUCACAGGUUCAAUCCCUGUCACGCCCA